UGGGGAAUAUUGGACAAUGGGGGCAACCCUGAUCCAGCCAUGCCGCGUGAGUGAUGAAGGCCUUCGGGUUGUAAAGCUCUUUUGGCGGGGACGAUGAUGACGGUACCCGCAGAAUAAGCCCCGGCUAACUUCGUGCCAGCAGCCGCGGUAAGACGAAGGGGGCAAGCGUUGUUCGGAAUUACUGGGCGUAAAGGGCGCGUAGGCGGUUUGCUUAGUCAGGCGUGAAAGCCCUGGGCUUAACCUGGGAUGUGCGCUUGAUACUGGCAGGCUUGAGUGUGGGAGAGGUUGGUGGAAUUCCCAGUGUUGAGGUGAAAUUCGUAGAUAUUGGGAAUAACACCGGUGGCGAAGGCGGCCAACUGGACCACAACUGACGCUGAGGCGCGAAAGCGUGGGGAGCAAACA
RNAcentral lists this ribosomal RNA (402 nucleotides) under uncultured bacterium. Its description in RNAcentral is "bacterial SSU rRNA". It matches the Rfam family "Bacterial small subunit ribosomal RNA", at positions 355 to 774 of the family's 1533-position model. The record is from RNAcentral.